This 304-nucleotide ribosomal RNA is filed under the name uncultured bacterium. RNAcentral's name for it is "partial 16S ribosomal RNA". It matches the Rfam family "Bacterial small subunit ribosomal RNA", at positions 509 to 809 of the family's 1533-position model. The record is from RNAcentral.
CAGCAGUCGCCGCGGUAACACGAAGGGUGCAAGCGUUAAUCGGAAUUACUGGGCGUAAAGCGUGCGUAGGCGGUGAGUUAAGUCUGCUGUGAAAUCCCCGGGCUCAACCCAUAGUCUGCAUGGAAAACUGUCGGGCUUGAGUAUGGGAGAGGUGAGUGGAAUUUCCGAUGUAGCGGUGAAAUGCGUAGAUAUCGGAAGGAACACCUGAGGCGAAAGCGGCUCACUGGACCAUAACUGACGCUGAGGCGCGAAAGCUAGGGGAGCAAACAGGAUUAGAGACCCGGGUAGUCCCUGUCUCUUAUAU